Molecule: transfer RNA, 91 nt
Filed under: Bacillota bacterium
Lineage: Bacteria; Bacillati; Bacillota
Description: Firmicutes bacterium (gut metagenome) tRNA-Ser
Rfam family: tRNA
About the family: Transfer RNA (tRNA) molecules are approximately 80 nucleotides in length. Their secondary structure includes four short double-helical elements and three loops (D, anti-codon, and T loops). Further hydrogen bonds mediate the characteristic L-shaped molecular structure. tRNAs have two regions of fundamental functional importance: the anti-codon, which is responsible for specific mRNA codon recognition, and the 3' end, to which the tRNAs corresponding amino acid is attached (by aminoacyl-tRNA synthetases). tRNAs cope with the degeneracy of the genetic code in two manners: having more than one tRNA (with a specific anti-codon) for a particular amino acid; and 'wobble' base-pairing, i.e. permitting non-standard base-pairing at the 3rd anti-codon position.
Source: RNAcentral
GGAGAUGUACUCAAGUUGGUGAAGAGGCUCCCCUGCUAAGGGAGUAGGUCGGGAAACCGGCGCAAGAGUUCAAAUCUCUUCAUCUCCGCCA